ACAGCUGUGCUGUGCAGUGGUACGACCAGGACAGUGGGAGCUGAAGACUGGGGCUUGGCCAGGACGCCUGCAGCUGUAGUAGUGUGUAGACAGCUGUGCUGUGGCUCCACUGUUUCAGAACUACUUGGAAACAUCACUAGAGGGUUUGGAGUUUACUGUUAUGGGAUCUGAACCUUCACUGAGGGAAUGUUGAAGAACACAUGAACUCCUUCGGUGGACUCACAGUGAUCUGCUCAGACCACCAGGAGGCAGAAGAGAGUGAACAGGGUGAGCAGCAUGGAUCUUUAUGUCAAUGUCAUGGAGAUGGUCUCUCUGAGCUCCAGAGCUGAGGCCGGGAGAGGAGAGAGCAGCCCAGGGGGACGGAGUAGGAUGAAGCUGACCCUACAUACUGAUCUCAGAGACACACGUGCCCCUGCCUGCCUGCCUGCUCAGUGACACUGCAGUACAGAGGACAUAGCAGCAGCAGACAGACAGACAGGCAGAGAGACACGCAGGCAGACCGACACGCAGGCAGAGAGACAGGCAGGCAAAACAAGCCGACAGGCAGAACGUAGGAAGGUGUGUCGAGGCCUUGUCUCCUCUUCCUCGAGUAGCAGAGAUCCUGUUCUCCUGCGCUCUCCUUCAAGGACUUCCACACUCUGAGACCAAG
Molecule: long non-coding RNA, 649 nt
Filed under: Oncorhynchus mykiss (rainbow trout)
Lineage: Eukaryota; Metazoa; Chordata; Actinopteri; Salmoniformes; Salmonidae
Description: lncRNA (ENSOMYG00000067708.1)
Source: RNAcentral